GACGAACGCUGGCGGCGUGCCUAAUACAUGCAAGUCGAGCGGACCAAAGGGAGCUUGCUCCUGGAGGUCAGCGGCGAACGGGUGAGUAACACGUGGGCAACCUGCCUGUAAGACUGGGAUAACAUCGAGAAAUCGGUGCUAAUACCGGAUAAUAAAAAGAACUGCAUGGUUCUUUUUUGAAAGAUGGUUUCGGCUAUCACUUACAGAUGGGCCCGCGGCGCAUUAGCUAGUUGGUGAGGUAACGGCUCACCAAGGCAACGAUGCGUAGCCGACCUGAGAGGGUGAUCGGCCACACUGGGACUGAGACACGGCCCAGACUCCUACGGGAGGCAGCAGUAGGGAAUCUUCCGCAAUGGACGAAAGUCUGACGGAGCAACGCCGCGUGAGUGAUGAAGGUUUUCGGAUCGUAAAACUCUGUUGUUAGGGAAGAACAAGUGCCGUUCGAAAGGGCGGCACCUUGACGGUACCUAACGAGAAAGCCACGGCUAACUACGUGCCAGCAGCCGCGGUAA
Molecule: ribosomal RNA, 512 nt
Filed under: uncultured bacterium
Lineage: Bacteria
Description: bacterial SSU rRNA
Rfam family: Bacterial small subunit ribosomal RNA
Source: RNAcentral